RNAcentral lists this unclassified non-coding RNA (329 nucleotides) under soil metagenome. RNAcentral's name for it is "partial contains 5.8S ribosomal RNA, internal transcribed spacer 2, and large subunit ribosomal RNA". The stretch from base 1 to 120 matches the Rfam family "5.8S ribosomal RNA", at positions 35 to 154 of the family's 154-position model. The record is from RNAcentral.
GAUGAAGAACGCAGCGAAAUGCGAUAAGUAAUGUGAAUUGCAGAAUUCAGUGAAUCAUCGAAUCUUUGAACGCACAUUGCGCCCUCUGGUAUUCCGGGGGGCAUGCCUGUUCGAGCGUCAUUAUAACCACUCAAGCUCUCGCUUGGUAUUGGAGUUCGCGAUCUCGCGGCUCCUAAAAUCAGUGGCGGUGCCUGUCGGCUCUACGCGUAGUAAUACUCCUCGCGAUUGAGUCCGGUAGGUUUACUUGCCAGCAACCCCCAAUUUUUACAGGUUGACCUCGGAUCAGGUAGGGAUACCCGCUGAACUUAAGCAUAUCAAUAAGCGGAGGA